This is a long non-coding RNA of Sinocyclocheilus anshuiensis, 664 nucleotides long. RefSeq lists it as uncharacterized. The transcript has 3 exons. The record is from RefSeq and is a predicted model, not a curated record. NCBI's taxonomy places the organism in Eukaryota, Metazoa, Chordata, Actinopteri, Cypriniformes, Cyprinidae.
ACACGACAAAGGCAUUUCAUGUCUCACAUGUCCGGACAGUGCAGUAUAGGCUACAACACAUCACUAAAGUCCUGUUUCUGGAGCUCAAACGUUCGUCUAUGGACCUCCUCCUUUCUCAGGUUCACCAGCUGGACCAGCACAUAUUUGGAAACAGAUCCAUAAUUUUCAGCAAUGGAUGGAUUUAACCUCUCUGAAUGAUUUGGGCACCUCUGAAGGCCACUAAUGGAGAAAAGUGAAGACUAAGAUAAAGUAUGGUAAAGGUUUGAAAUGAAGUAAACUGCAUACAAUCCAAGGAGUGGAAAUUUUAGAUGACAACUCAAAAUGUUCGUAAAGGGUAUACAGUCAAGCAGUUGGAAAAUCUCAACAUCAGUUCCAGCUGAAAUCAAGAGGCUCUAAAUCUGGGUUUUACUAUUGUUUUCUAUGGAUAAGAAAACUACUUAAUGUAAUGUAAAUGUAAGAAAUGUGUUAAAGGUUCAUGUAGAAGUGGUUGCAUGAUGUCUAAAUAAAUGAAUCUAAGAAUAAUUUAUUUUGUAAAGCAGCAAUGAUAGCUGAAUCGUUUUUUCUUUUGUCUAUACAGGUCCGUGGACGUCUAACAGACAUGUGCUAACUUCAGUGUGCACUGGUAUCUAUUUGCUUUUGUAAUAAAAUACAUUUAAUCACAGUG